This 452-nucleotide long non-coding RNA is filed under the name Homo sapiens (human). RNAcentral describes it as "non-protein coding lnc-TOGARAM2-1:1". Lineage: Eukaryota; Metazoa; Chordata; Mammalia; Primates; Hominidae. The record is from RNAcentral.
GCUUUUAUGACAUCGUGUGUGGGGACCUAUGGCAGGAGCCUCGCCCUGUCCUGGCACACGUUGGCCCCAAGCAAACGUGGAGGUCCUCCAGAGGGACAAGGAGGCAUCAUGGGCAUCUCCACAGCUGAUGGCAGGAUCCCGGGUGCCCUGUACCCCUUCGUCUGCUGCCUGCAAUAUGAACGCACACCACAGCCUCCAGUGGAAGCAUUCCAAGAUCUGCAGCAAAUAUCUAGCUCAUUGGCAGAAGCAGGUUUUUGGCAUGAACAACUGUUUUUCACUUUGAUUUCGACUCCAGCAGAAGUUCUGCAAGAUGACCUGGGAAUAAAGUUGGCCAAGAAGCCUCCGAGGGGAGAUCGGCGUGUGAGGUGGAGAGCCCCGCGUCUACAUGAGGUGUGAGAUCCCAACAGGUUGACAAUGGAAGCAGAGCUGAGAAUCCGGUCAUCUUAUAUUAA